AACCUAGCACACCUGCGGUGUGUACCUGCGGAAGGAUCAUUACAGAGUUAUCCAACUCCCAAACCCAUGUGAACUUAUCUCUUUGUUGCCUCGGCGCAAGCUACCCGGGACCCCGCGCCCCGGGCGGCCCGCCGGCGGACAAACCAAAACUCUUGUUAUCUUAGUUGAUUCUCUGAGCGUCUUAUUUAAUAAGUCAAAACUUUCAACAACGGAUCU
Molecule: unclassified non-coding RNA, 216 nt
Filed under: soil metagenome
Description: partial contains 5.8S ribosomal RNA, internal transcribed spacer 2, and large subunit ribosomal RNA
Source: RNAcentral